UACAGAGGAGCCAAGCGUUGUCCGGAUUGACUGGGCGUAAAGCGCACGCAGGCGGAUGCGCGCGUGGGGUGUGAAAUCUGGCCGCUUAACGGCCAGGCGCCAUCCCAUACGGCGCGUCUGGAGUGAUGCAGAGGUCGAUGGAAUUGCCGGUGUAGUGGUGAAAUGCGUAGAUAUUAGGAAGAACACCAGUGGCGAAGGCGGCUCACUGGCCCGGUACUGACGCUGAGGCGCGAAAGCGUGGGGAGCAAACAGG
Molecule: ribosomal RNA, 253 nt
Filed under: uncultured bacterium
Lineage: Bacteria
Description: partial 16S ribosomal RNA
Rfam family: Bacterial small subunit ribosomal RNA
Source: RNAcentral